GAUGAACGCUGGCGGCGUGCCUAAUACAUGCAAGUCGAGCGAACAGACGAGGAGCUUGCUCCUCUGACGUUAGCGGCGGACGGGUGAGUAACACGUGGAUAACCUACCUAUAAGACUGGGAUAACUUCGGGAAACCGGAGCUAAUACCGGAUAAUAUAUUGAACCGCAUGGUUCAAUAGUGAAAGACGGAUUUGCUGUCACUUAUAGAUGGAUCCGCGCCGCAUUAGCUAGUUGGUAAGGUAACGGCUUACCAAGGCAACGAUGCGUAGACGACCUGAGAGGGUGAUCGGCCACACUGGAACUGAGACACGGUCCAGACUCCUACGGGAGGCAGCAGUAGGGAAUCUUCCGCAAAGGGCGAAAGCCUGAUGGAGCAACGCCGCGUGAGUGAUGAAGGUCUUCGGAUCGUAAAACUCUGUUAUUAGGGAAGAACAAAUGUGUAAGUAACUAUGCACGUCUUGACGAUACCUAAACAGAAAGCCACGGCUAACUACGUG
This 497-nucleotide ribosomal RNA is filed under the name uncultured bacterium. RNAcentral describes it as "partial 16S ribosomal RNA". It matches the Rfam family "Bacterial small subunit ribosomal RNA", at positions 28 to 507 of the family's 1533-position model. The record is from RNAcentral.